AUUUCGGCUCUAAAUAUUGUAUUUUUUUCAAGAUUUUUUUAUUAUUUUGAGUUAAUACAUUGUUUUUGGUGGGAAAUUGAAACAGAACAAUAUUUGUACAGAUUUUAUUACAAAUGUCCCAAGGUGAAAAAAUAGGGAUUUUCCAUGAAAAUUUCCAAAUCUUCUGGAUUAUAAACAUAUGUGCGCCUAGGAAUUAAGCAUAGAGUGCAGGGUUAGACGAUUGAAUAUUCUAGUCAGGUAUUUCAUUUGUUAUAACAAACUUUGUAGUUUUUUUGCCAAAAUAUGCACUCUUUGUUUCCUGUUAACAUAAUAAAAUUUGCAUGUUUUCCUGAAUUUGGAGUUAAAUUAAGAUUUAUGUUAAUUAUGACAUCACAUAAAGAAUGCUGACAGGUAAACUUUUAUAAAAAAACAACUUCUGAACUAGAAAUUGCUAUGAUAUAUUGUGAUACAUUGAUUUGACAAUAAAAUCCUAAUUUUAAAAUAAAGCUAGCUACAUGUUUAUACAUUGCAUGUACAGAAUUAUUUUUGUUUUCAGUUAUGUCAUUUCUGUUGAUUUUGCUAAUAAAU
RNAcentral lists this long non-coding RNA (567 nucleotides) under Mytilus galloprovincialis (Mediterranean mussel). The record is from RNAcentral. Lineage: Eukaryota; Metazoa; Mollusca; Bivalvia; Mytilida; Mytilidae.